GCAUGUGCCACCAUCAUCUGGCAGCAUGUUGCAAUUUUAUUGGCCCCCUCUCCCUGAUGCCAGUUUACCAAUCAUGUGGUCACAUAAGCAGGAACAGAUCAAGUGGAAAACCUUCCUGGGUAAAUCUCAGAUCCCUUUCCUUCCCCAGGGGUGAGAACUGAGCUACAGCCAGGGCCUGAGCAAUCAUUGAGCCUGCACAUCUCAGACGAGAACUUGGACUGCUCUCAAGUGGAAAGACCUCCCCUCCCACCCAGUCUUCUCUUCCAUGGAUCUUCCCAUUCCUUUCCAAGAUGGUGACCAGCAUGUCCAUUAAGCUUUAUCGUGAGUCAAAAUGAACUUGGGUUUUGCUUUUGCCUGGAGUGCCUCCUGUCACAAGCAUGCAGAAAUUCGUGAUGGAGAUAAGGGCAGGAAACUGGAGCAGUGUGGAGAACUAUGCAUGCAGCCUAGAAGUGGAGGGGGCACCUCAGGCACAGGACUGUCCAGGAGGUCUUGGUUCCCUGGGACUGGGAUGGAGACUGGAAACCUGAGAAAGUGGAGGAGCGGUGGGGCCGAGGACAAGCACUCGUGGGUCUUCUUGGCGAGUCACUUCACUUUUCCUGUAUCAGUUCCCCAGGUAAUUCUGAGGGACUUAAUAAGGACUGAGAACCACUGCCCAGAAUUUCUGAUGUACUAGGGAGGCAUGGGACCUCCUCCCUCCCUCCUGUCACCCUUCUGAAGCCAUUUGCACAAUUCACAGAUGGAAAAACCUCAGAAGACCGGGAGACUGCAAGUGACACAUUCAGGUACUUGACGCAGCACAUUCUGUUUUCAAUCAGCAGACUUUAAGCUUUGAAACCUUUUACAAUUACAAGAAGACCUGAGUGAAAAAUAGAAAGUUCUCAAGUUCCUUUCCCACCCCCAGGUCUGUGAUUAUGAGCUGCUGUCAGCAGUGGGACACACUGCUACACCAGAGAAGAAAGCAGUAAUACAUUAUUUUCAAGUCCACAGUUUACAGUAGAGUUCAGUGUUUGUGUUCUUU
Long non-coding RNA from Alexandromys fortis (reed vole), 1018 nucleotides. RefSeq lists it as uncharacterized. NCBI's taxonomy places the organism in Eukaryota, Metazoa, Chordata, Mammalia, Rodentia, Cricetidae. The transcript has 4 exons. The record is from RefSeq and is a predicted model, not a curated record.